GGGAAUUUAGCUCAGUGGCACAAGCACCUGCCUUGCAAGCAGGUGGUAGUGAGUUCAAUCUCAGGUACCG
This is a transfer RNA of Cavia porcellus (domestic guinea pig), 70 nucleotides long. It matches the Rfam family "tRNA". From Rfam's summary of the family: Transfer RNA (tRNA) molecules are approximately 80 nucleotides in length. Their secondary structure includes four short double-helical elements and three loops (D, anti-codon, and T loops). The record is from Rfam. NCBI's taxonomy places the organism in Eukaryota, Metazoa, Chordata, Mammalia, Rodentia, Caviidae.